This 468-nucleotide ribosomal RNA is filed under the name uncultured Streptococcus sp. RNAcentral describes it as "bacterial SSU rRNA". It matches the Rfam family "Bacterial small subunit ribosomal RNA", at positions 916 to 1381 of the family's 1533-position model. Lineage: Bacteria; Bacillati; Bacillota; Bacilli; Lactobacillales; Streptococcaceae. The record is from RNAcentral.
ACGGGGCCCGCACAAGCGGUGGAGCAUGUGGUUUAAUUCGAUGCAACGCGAAGAACCUUUACCUACUCUUGACAUCCAGAGAAUUCGCUAGAGAUAGCUUAGUGCCUUCGGUACAUCGGUGACAGGUGGUGCAUGGUUGUCGUCAGCUCGUGUCGUGAGAUGUUGGGUUAAGUCCCGCAACGAGCGCAACCCCUAUUGUUAGUUGCCAUCAUUCAGUUGGGCACUCUAGCGAGACUGCCGGUAAUAAACCGGAGGAAGGUGGGGAUGACGUCAAAUCAUCAUGCCCCUUAUGACCUGGGCUACACACGUGCUACAAUGGUUGGUACAACGAGUUGCGAGUCGGUGACGGCGAGCUAAUCUCUUAAAGCCAAUCUCAGUUCGGAUUGUAGGCUGCAACUCGCCUACAUGAAGUCGGAAUCGCUAGUAAUCGCGGAUCAGCACGCCGCGGUGAAUACGUUCCCGGGCCUU